GCUGGGCGUGGUGGCGCAUGCUUGUAAUCCCAGCUACUUGGGAGGCUGAGACAUGAGAAUCGCUUGAAUCCGGGAGGCAGAGGUUGCAGUGAGCCACAAUCGCACCACUGCACUCCAGCCUGGGUGACAGAGCGAGACUCUGUCUCAA
RNAcentral lists this non-coding RNA (148 nucleotides) under Pan paniscus (pygmy chimpanzee). RNAcentral also lists the same sequence under 1 other name. Lineage: Eukaryota; Metazoa; Chordata; Mammalia; Primates; Hominidae. The record is from Rfam by way of RNAcentral.